AUGAGACAUGAUGAUGUUUAUCCAUCAUUUCUGCAUUUGAAUGAUGAAUACCAACAUGCACUACCAUCUGAUCUCUU
Small nucleolar RNA from Gossypium arboreum, 77 nucleotides. The record is from Rfam. Lineage: Eukaryota; Viridiplantae; Streptophyta; Magnoliopsida; Malvales; Malvaceae.